This 495-nucleotide ribosomal RNA is filed under the name uncultured bacterium. RNAcentral describes it as "partial 16S ribosomal RNA". It matches the Rfam family "Bacterial small subunit ribosomal RNA", at positions 28 to 523 of the family's 1533-position model. The record is from RNAcentral.
GAUGAACGCUAGCGGCAGGCUUAACACAUGCAAGUCGAGGGGUAGAGUUAGCUUGCUAACUUGAGACCGGCGCACGGGUGCGUAACGCGUAUGCAAUCUACCUUGUACAGAGGGAUAGCCCAGAGAGAUUUGGAUUAAUACCUCAUAGUAUUAUUGAAUGGCAUCAUUUGAUUAUUAAAGUUCCAACGGUACAAGAUGAGCAUGCGUCCCAUUAGCUAGAUGGUAAGGUAACGGCUUACCAUGGCAACGAUGGGUAGGGGUCCUGAGAGGGAGAUCCCCACACUGGUACUGAGACACGGACCAGACUCCUACGGGAGGCAGCAGUGAGGAAUAUUGGUCAAUGGGCGCAAGCCUGAACCAGCCAUGCCGCGUGCAGGAAGACGGUCCUAUGGAUUGUAAACUGCUUUUAUACGGGAAGAAACCCUGCUACGUGUAGCAGCUUGACGGUACCGUAAGAAUAAGCAUCGGCUAACUCCGUGCCAGCAGCCGCGGUAA